This 1343-nucleotide ribosomal RNA is filed under the name uncultured bacterium. RNAcentral's name for it is "16S ribosomal RNA". It matches the Rfam family "Bacterial small subunit ribosomal RNA", at positions 28 to 1378 of the family's 1533-position model. The record is from RNAcentral.
GACGAACGCUGGCGGCGUGCUUAACACAUGCAAGUCGAACGGAAAGGCCCUGCUUUUGUGGGGUGCUCGAGUGGCGAACGGGUGAGUAACACGUGAGUAACCUGCCCUUGACUUUGGGAUAACUUCAGGAAACUGGGGCUAAUACCGGAUAGGAGCUCCUGCUGCAUGGUGGGGGUUGGAAAGUUUCGGCGGUUGGGGAUGGACUCACGGCUUAUCAGCUUGUUGGUGGGGUAGUGGCUUACCAAGGCUUUGACGGGUAGCCGGCCUGAGAGGGUGGCCGGCCACAUUGGGACUGAGAUACGGCCCAGACUCCUACGGGAGGCAGCAGUGGGGAAUAUUGCACAAUGGGCGGAAGCCUGAUGCAGCAACGCCGCGUGCGGGAUGACGGCCUUCGGGUUGUAAACCGCUUUCGCCUGUGACGAAGCGUGAGUGACGGUAAUGGGUAAAGAAGCACCGGCUAACUACGUGCCAGCAGCCGCGGUGAUACGUAGGGUGCGAGCGUUGUCCGGAUUUAUUGGGCGUAAAGGGCUCGUAGGUGGUUGAUCGCGUCGGAAGUGUAAUCUUGGGGCUUAACCCUGAGCGUGCUUUCGAUACGGGUUGACUUGAGGAAGGUAGGGGAGAAUGGAAUUCCUGGUGGAGCGGUGGAAUGCGCAGAUAUCAGGAGGAACACCAGUGGCGAAGGCGGUUCUCUGGGCCUUUCCUGACGCUGAGGAGCGAAAGCGUGGGGAGCGAACAGGCUUAGAUACCCUGGUAGUCCACGCUGUAAACGGUGGGUACUAGGUGUGGGGUCCAUUCCACGGGUUCCGUGCCGUAGCUAACGCUUUAAGUACCCCGCCUGGGGAGUACGGCCGCAAGGCUAAAACUCAAAGGAAUUGACGGGGCCCCGCACAAGCGGCGGAGCAUGCGGAUUAAUUCGAUGCAACGCGUAGAACCUUACCUGGGUUUGACAUGGAUCGGGAGUGCUCAGAGAUGGGUGUGCCUCUUUUGGGGUCGGUUCACAGGUGGUGCAUGGCUGUCGUCAGCUCGUGUCGUGAGAUGUUGGGUUAAGUCCCGCAACGAGCGCAACCCUUGUUCACUGUUGCCAGCACGUUAUGGUGGGGACUCAGUGGAGACCGCCGGGGUCAACUCGGAGGAAGGUGGGGAUGACGUCAAGUCAUCAUGCCCCUUAUGUCCAGGGCUUCACGCAUGCUACAAUGGCUGGUACAGAGAGUGGCGAGCCUGUGAGGGUGAGCGAAUCUCGGAAAGCCGGUCUCAGUUCGGAUUGGGGUCUGCAACUCGACCUCAUGAAGUCGGAGUCGCUAGUAAUCGCAGAUCAGCAACGCUGCGGUGAAUACGUUCCCGGG